RNAcentral lists this long non-coding RNA (3759 nucleotides) under Nicotiana tabacum (common tobacco). RNAcentral describes it as "long non-coding RNA (NTAB_LNC017571)". Lineage: Eukaryota; Viridiplantae; Streptophyta; Magnoliopsida; Solanales; Solanaceae. The record is from RNAcentral.
UAAAAUCAGAUAAACAAACCGAAUAUGACAGUUGAGCGACCGUGCUAGAACCACGGAACUCGGGAAUGCCUAACACCUUCUCCCGGGUUAACAGAAUUCUUUAUCCAGAUUUCUGGUUCGCAAACUAUAAUACAGAGUCAUUAUUUUCCUCGAUACGAGAUUAAAUUGGUGACUUGGGACACCUUAAACCUCCCUAGUGGCGACUCUGAAUAAAUAAAUAAAUCCCGUUUCGAUUGUCCUUUAAUUGAAAAAACUCCUUCACCCCUUGCGGGGACGGAAAAAGGAGGUGUGACAUUAGAUUUUAUAAAUUGUAAUCUAAGAGAGCAAAAAGCAAGAUAAAAGGGAAUAAGGAAAAGUGGCAACGUAAAUCCCCCUUUACUUCUUUUAUCUUUAUCUUACAUGAAAUUGAUGCUUAUGAUUUGCUAAACUGUUGGUUUGGACUGGUUAAAAACUGUGUUGAAGGUGUCGAGAUGUAGAACGGAAACUUGGGAAUGAAUGGAAGGUAGUUGGGAUGGUGUGAACAGCUGAAGCAAUGUGUUAAUUGUUGCCUUAACGUUGUUUGCUUGCCAGGUCUGGUGACAGCAAGCUUAAUCGCGAUCACAGGGCAUUGGCCGCGAUGCGGCCAAGCAUGAUUCUCUGGAGCAGUGUUUCAAGUACAAAAAGAUAAUGUGAAUUGCAAGAGGUUAGUCGAGCCUAGAUUAGAAUAACACGAACCUCGAUUGCAACACAUGCACCACAAUUGUGAUUGACCUUCACUCUUUGACCCCAGACGUAGCUAACAGUUUCAUCUAUUCCAAAUAUGCUUAUCAGAUCUGAAAUGAACUUAACUAACGAUAUGGUUAGUCAAAUGAGGGCAUGAACUUAUCCAGUUCAAAAAGGAACUCAGUAUGCUAUCUGAGGGAUCCUGUGAUAUUGAACUUAUUAAGUUGUGGGAUGAGUUAGACUCUCUUAACAAUAAUUCUUAUUGCAGCUGUGAUUGUCAAUAUGAUGGAAAGGUAAAAAUGAUUAAGGACAAGGAAACUCUGAAACUUAAUCAGUUCUUAAUUGGCCUUAAUGACUCUUAUAGUGGUACCAUAAGAAACAUAACUAUGAUGAAACCUACACCUAACAUCGGUCAAACUUGUUCUCUCCUACUUCAAGAUGAAAAAUCUGAAUCCAGACUCUUUCACACCAUGUUCCUGAAUCAGCUUCUUUCUCUGCUGGUUCCUCAUCAGAAGGGCAGACAAAUCCUCCCAAAACAAAUUUCUCUGGUCCUAAAGAAGUCUAUUACUGCAAAAAACCAGGCCAUACCAUUGAUAAAUACAAUAGAUUCCAUGGUUUGAGAAUGAUUCCUUAGGGGUCGUUUGGUAAGCAGGAUAAGGUGGGAUAAGAUAUGAGAUUAAAUUAUACUGUGUUUGGUUGACGGUAUAAAUUUAUCCCGGGAUCCCUUAGUGUUUAAGAAUUUUCACAAAGUUGGUAAAUUAAUUGAGAUAUGGUGGGAUGAACAAGUCAUGGAUAGUAAAUGUACUCAACACUUCGUAAAAUGUUAAAUUUAAUUUAGAGUUAUGGGAAGAAGAUUGGAGAUUAAAUUUGGAGUAAACAAGUGCUACUUGACUAUCCGUUUUUGGAUCCAACACUGGUAUCUCUUCCUAAUUAGUAUCCAAGUCUAAUCUAAAUACUUUAUCAUGUGAUUAAGUGCUCAAUUGGAGCAUGCCUUUGUUUGAGUGUCUAAAUGAUAUAUGUACGAGCAAAUUCAAGGGGAUGUUAAUGUAUUUUGCCUUCUCUGGAGGAAUAUAUGGAUAAUCGUUCAAGUUAGUACUCCCUCUGUUUCAAUUUAGAUGACACACUUUCCUUAUUAGUCCGCUCCAAAAAAAUGAUACAUUUCUACACUUUCUUUAUUAGUCCAUUCCAUGAUAGUUCAAUUUUAGUAAGAAUUAUCUAUUUAAAAACUCAGUGAACUCCUUUACGAUUUCCUAUUUUCGAAUGUGUUCGCUUGCUGGUACUCUACUCGAUUUUCCAUCUCUCUUGUCAUCUCCGCUAACUUUUAUGAGUCACCGUCUAUUGAUUAAUUGUGACACCACUUAUGAGAAAUUCUGUGUACGUACUACCUGCAUUUUUGUAAGAGGUUGUUUCCACUGCUUUGAGCUCCUGAUCACAUAGAGACAACUUUACAAGUUAUGUCAAGGCUCCCACUAUGGGCGGGGUUCAGGGAAGAGCGGGACCACAAAGGUCUAUUGUACGUAGUCUUACACAACACUUUUGCAAGAAGUUGUUUCCACUAGUCGAAUCGGUGACCUCUUGGUCAAAUGGCAUCAACUUUACCAGUUACAUCAAGGCUCCCGCUAUGCGACGGAUCCGAGAAAGGGCGGGAUCACAAGGUCUAUUGUUGACAGUCUUACCCUACAUUUUUUGCUAGAGGCGAUUUUCAAUAUUUGAAUCUGUGACCUUUUGGUCAUGUGUCAGCAACUUUACUAGUUACGCUAAGGCUCCCCUCCUUAAUAUUUUGAUUUAAUAUGUAUAAAUAUUGUAUGACGUACCGAUGAGUUGUUUGCUUCCCCUUUCUCUUUUUCUCCUCCAUUUUCUUUUCCUCUUUCCAUGUAUGCAAUUUUCACUAGUCAAGCCAAAGUUCAAGUUUUCAUGUCUGAUGUAUAAAAGGUAGACAAACCUUUAUUAGGAGAAGUAGAAAAACAAGAACAGAAGAAACUGAAGAAAGAAGCAUAAAGCAUAUAGCAGGAAAUAAUUUACUGCAGAUAUAGCCAGAGGGAUUCAGAAAGAAAGAUCUGUGAGAGAGAAGUAAAACUGGUUGGAUAAAGACAAAUUGAAAGGCUAACAUUAAAAAAGAAGAAUCAAAUAAAGAUAACUUUUCCUAAAUAUUGAACAAAUGACAACCACAACUGAGCAUACUCAUCGAAUAUGCUUAUUUUCUAAUGAAACCAUAUUCAUAUCCCUUUGAUUCCAAGAAAAAAUAGAAAGCUUAACAGCUAGUUAUUUACAGUUAACUAAAUAGAAAGCAGUUCUCGUAAGCAAACCAGUCAAAAGGAAACAAAUGCAGUCAAACAAAAUAAUUCAAAAAAAAAACAUGACACAAGAUCUGGAAAUUAGAAAGAUAAGUAAAGUUAGAACAUGACCUCUUUAAACUUCAACCUUUCCUCAUCCAAAAAACUUGACUUUUAACAACUUGAACAAGCAGAAACGGACAAGACCAUGAACCAGCCCUCAGACGGAGUAUCGAAACUCGCCGGCAAACUCGAAAACGGACAGAACGUCAACUGUGUUAGAACGGGGCAGAAGCAGGCUGUCUAGGUUGACUUUGGUGGUCGUUUCAGCUCGUUUUCCGGUGAGCUUCUAUGAACGAAAAGAAGCAGAAACAGCGAUGGGUGAAGGGGAGCAGGCUACCGUGACUGCGACGGGGAGGGACUGCUGAAGAUGUUGGAGAACAGGGGUGGUUUCCUUUAGUGAAGACGACUGAUUUCCAGCUCUUUUCUAGGUCUCUUAGGCUUGUUUUUUUGUUCCGUUUUUUUCUGAUUUGGGGACCAAAGAAGAUCGAAAAUGAUGGUCCUCUUAUUUUUUAGUUUUUCUAUCUAUCUUUCAUGUAUGUUGCCGCUGAUUUUAGGUCCCAAGAGUUCCUUUUGCUUGUAUUCUUUUUCUUCAUUCACCAGAUCAAGGAGAUCGUUUGGGAUGGGUUCUUCAUUUUCUGAAAACGGCGCUGCCUUCUUCAGCUGCUCUCCCCUUAGGCGUUAGUCUAGGUCCCGAUAUUUGUAGUCUAGGUUUAGGUUAUUU